GUAGCUCAGUUGGAUAGAGCGUUUGACUUCGAAUCAAAAGGCCGCGGGUUCGAGCCCCUCCGGGUGCGCCA
Molecule: transfer RNA, 71 nt
Filed under: Clostridia bacterium
Lineage: Bacteria; Bacillati; Bacillota; Clostridia
Description: tRNA-Arg
Rfam family: tRNA
About the family: Transfer RNA (tRNA) molecules are approximately 80 nucleotides in length. Their secondary structure includes four short double-helical elements and three loops (D, anti-codon, and T loops).
Source: RNAcentral